RNAcentral lists this ribosomal RNA (253 nucleotides) under uncultured bacterium. RNAcentral describes it as "partial 16S ribosomal RNA". It matches the Rfam family "Bacterial small subunit ribosomal RNA", at positions 524 to 776 of the family's 1533-position model. The record is from RNAcentral.
UACGUAGGGGGCAAGCGUUGUCCGGAAUUAUUGGGCGUAAAGAGCGUGUAGGCGGCCCGGUAAGUCCGCUGUGAAAGUCCAAGGCUCAACCCUGGGAUGCCGGUGGAUACUGUCGGGCUCGAGUCCGGAAGAGGAGUGUGGAAUUCCUGGUGUAGCGGUGAAAUGCGCAGAUAUCAGGAAGAACACCCGUGGCGAAGGCGGCUCUCUGGGACGGUACUGACGCUGAGACGCGAAAGCGUGGGGAGCGAACAGG